This 497-nucleotide ribosomal RNA is filed under the name uncultured bacterium. RNAcentral describes it as "partial 16S ribosomal RNA". It matches the Rfam family "Bacterial small subunit ribosomal RNA", at positions 28 to 507 of the family's 1533-position model. The record is from RNAcentral.
GAUGAACGCUGGCGGCGUGCCUAAUACAUGCAAGUCGAGCGAACAGACGAGGAGCUUGCUCCUCUUACGUUAGCGGCGGACGGGUGAGUAACACGUGGAUAACCUACCUAUAAUACUGGGAUAACUUCGGGAAACCGGAGCUAAUACCGGAUAAUAUAUUGAACCGCAUGGUUCAAUAGUGAAAGACGGUUUUGCUGUCACUUAUAGAUGUAUCCGCGCCGCAUUAGCUAGUUGGUAAGGUAACGGCUUACCAAGGCGCCGAUGCGUAGCCGACCUGAGAGGGUGAUCGGCCACACUGGAACUGAGACACGGUCCAGACUCCUACGGGAGGAAGCAGUAGGGAAUCUUCCGCAAUGGGCGAAAGCCUGAAGGAGAAACGCCGGGUGAGUGAUGAAGGUCUUCGGAUAGUAAACCUCUGUUAUUAGGGAAGAACAAAUGUGUAAGUAACUAUGCACGUAUUGACGGUACCUAAUGAGAAAGCCACGGCUAACUACGUG